UACGUAGGGUGCAAGCGUUGUCCGGAAUUAUUGGGCGUAAAGAGCUCGUAGGCGGUUUGUCGCGUCUGCUGUGAAAACUCGGGGCUUAACCCCGGGCCUGCAGUGGGUACGGGCAGACUAGAGUGCGGUAGGGGAGACUGGAAUUCCUGGUGUAGCGGUGAAAUGCGCAGAUAUCAGGAGGAACACCGGUGGCGAAGGCGGCCAUCUGGACCGCAACUGACGCUGAGGCGCGAAAGCGUGGGGAGCAAACAGG
This 253-nucleotide ribosomal RNA is filed under the name uncultured bacterium. Its description in RNAcentral is "partial 16S ribosomal RNA". It matches the Rfam family "Bacterial small subunit ribosomal RNA", at positions 524 to 776 of the family's 1533-position model. The record is from RNAcentral.